CCUACGGGUGGCAGCAGUGGGGAAUAUUGCACAAUGGGCGAAAGCCUGAUGCAGCAACGCAGCGUGAAGGAUGAAGGGUUUCGGCUCGUAAACUUCUAUCAACAGGGACGAAAGAAAUGACGGUACCUGAAUAAGAAGCCUCGGCUAACUACGUGCCAGCCGCCGCGGUCAUACGUAGGGGGCACGCGUUAUCCGGAAUUACUGGGGGUAACGGGUGAGUAGGCGGCAUGGUAAGCCAGAUGUGAAAGCCUGGGGCGUAACCCGAGGAUUGCAUUUGAAACUAUCAAGCUAGAGUACAGGAGAGGAAAGCGGAAUUCCUAGUGUAGCGGUGAAAUGCGUAGAUAUUAGGAAGAACACCAGUGGCGAAGGCGGGUGUCUGGACUGAAACUGACGCUGAGGCACGAAAGCGUGGGGAGCGAACAGGAUUAGAUACCCCUGUAGUC
This 443-nucleotide ribosomal RNA is filed under the name uncultured bacterium. RNAcentral's name for it is "partial 16S ribosomal RNA". It matches the Rfam family "Bacterial small subunit ribosomal RNA", at positions 338 to 795 of the family's 1533-position model. The record is from RNAcentral.